Molecule: non-coding RNA, 5085 nt
Organism: Bactrocera oleae (olive fruit fly)
Lineage: Eukaryota; Metazoa; Arthropoda; Insecta; Diptera; Tephritidae
Source: RefSeq, a predicted model, not a curated record
UUGACAGAUUUUGUAUGGAUGAAAACACAAGUUUUUGCGUGAAAACCUCUUUUGUCUAUGAAAACACGAAUUUUGUGUCGGUGCGAACACAGUAUUAGCAGUGUCAAGCUGUCAUGUUAUUUUUAUUCAGUAUUGUUUGGCAUUUCAUCAUGGAAAGACUGACGUCUGAACAACGUUUACAAAUUGUUUAACUUUAUUACAAAAAUUCACGUUCUGUAAACAAUGUGUUUCAUGUAUCAUAAAAACGUGUAUAGGAACUAUAUAUUGUAAUAUGCUAUUGCAAUAGCAUAUUGAAAUUAGAUGCCACAUUUGCGUAUAUGCAUAUAUAAGUAGAUACAUAUAUUUCAUAUUAAUAUCAUAUUACCACUCAAUAAAGUCUGCGUUCACCCGACACAUUUUUUAAGUGAAGUAAAAACACAAUGUAAAUAGGACUAUACAAUGCUUGGAAGCGACAGUUAUAGUAAAAUCGAUGAAAAUAUGAGGUCCGAAAACUGAUGUGCAGCAUUUACGAAAAAAGUUCGGGCUCAUUGGAGCUUCCAAUCUCAUCUCACUUUUCAAGGCAAGCAUUAACUUAACAAGUUGUACUAACCUGUAGGAUGUGUACGGUGAAAGUGGAGCCAAAAACGCUUUAAAUGUAACACCUUUGACUUGACCCUCCACAUAUUGUCUGGCGCCCUGUGACCACAAAGAAGAACGAAGUUAUGCAGCUACAUAAAUACAUACAUAUAUUAUAUUGUUUAUAUAAUGUGAAGGGAAUUUUAUACAAUUCCUGUUUUUCAACCCUAUUAAAGAACACACAUUCAUAAGUCUACAAUCGGCAACAGAUUCACACUCAAAGGUAAAGGAUUCAAAACAUUUUUUACGUAUUCGCAGAGCAUAUUUAUGAACACUACUUCAAAAAAUUUACUUGUAUGUGGAAACAGACUAACCAAAAAGAAUAAUUUGAAAUUUAUCGAGAAUUGUAAUUGCAAAGAAUAAUAUAAAUCGGGUGUCGUUGAAAGCUGUAUUAUUCUCGUUUUGUUAUAAAUAUAUGGAGCCUAGGGGAAGUUUUGAACCGAAUUUAUCAAUUUUAGGCUUCACUACACAUUAUUACCAGGAGAAAAUUCUCUCUAAAACAUAAAAAUUUAUUUCACAGAUUGGCCCAUAUUUUUCGGUAAAAAGUCGACAACUGCGGUACCUAAAGGCUUGAAAAACUAUGACCUACAAUAAUAUCGAGACUUUGGUAUAUGUUACUCAUAUAUUCAUUUACCAUAUAUCCUACUAAAAAUUUUCAGUUAACCAAAACUAUCUAUGUCACACGCAUAGGCAGCGAAUCAGUAAGCCAAUUCUUGCUUUUAUCGUUCCCGUGAUUUUCCAGAAUAAGUUUUGUGUUCAAUUCAGCGCACAUGGUGUUAAUUUUCAUGCACUACUCGUGGUAGAGCUGAAAAAAUAUCGAUAUUCGGACCACUCGAUAGUAUCGAUAGUUUUUCCCUUGAAAUCUGCUUACUUUUCGCUGGUUUCAAUGGACAGACCUUGGAUUUGUACUUUUAAUUUUUAUGAAAUAAUCUUUGGAUUUAUUUAUAAAACAAAACAUAAACAAUGACGGAAAAUAUAAAACAUUAAUAAAGCUACUUAUACAAUUUUUCAUGUUACUAUUUAUAUAAACUGCUCUAAGUGUUGACUAGUGAUAAAAACGUACAUUUUUUUUUACUAAUGUAAUAUGAGAUCAAGGAAUUUAUAUAUAAAAUACGUUUCGGUACUGGCGGCUUCGCUCGCAUUAAAUCGCUUCAAUAAAUAUCAAAGAUCAUUGCGUUGAAAAAAAGUUGUAUAUGACAAUUGCAACAUAUAACGAAAUUUUAAAAACUGAAAGCAUGCCUUAUUGAAAAAAUUUACUACAACAAAAGUAAAAAUAUAUUUCAGCAUAGUAUAAUUCUAAAAUGUUUUUGUAUACUUUGUUGUAAGUUUUUACGUCCGGUGCAAAAAUGGCUCAAUUACGCGCAUUUGACACUCGGGAACAGGCUAGGAUUAUAUCUAGUUGACCGUGAGAGAAGCACAGCUUUUCUAUAUACACCCUUACUACCUGUCAUGUCUGCUUUUAUGCUUUGUUUAUAGUAACAGCAAAGCUGAACUUGAAGGUAAACUGAAUAGAUUUUUAGUUUUUUCUUUAUCUUAAACUUUAACACUAAAUAAUUUUGGUUUUAAAUAUUUUUAAUAAAAACUAUCCUAUGUCCUUUCUAUUUCCAUUAUGUAUAUGUGUACAAUCUUCUUUUCGAUUAACUAAUGGUUUUGGCGUGAAAGCGUAACAAACUAACUUCAUAAUAUUAGUAUAGAUAUGGAUUAGUAUGGAUAUCUACCUCGAUUAGUUUAAGGUGUUACAAACAAGUGUCUAAGAGCCAGUGGAUGGCUGUAUGUAAUUUUCCAAAGGUGAUCUUUUGCUUAAAUAUUUUCCUAUACCUCCUCACAUGAGAUCGGGAGCAACUAAGCCCAGAGAAGGUGGCUAUGAAAAUGAAGUGGAAAAGAUGUCAACUUCAAUCCAUUAAGCCACCUUUCAUCAGUUGAAGUGUAUGAUUUAAGGAGCUUUACGUCAUGGGCGCAUAAUAAAAUUUUUGAGAAUUCUAUUACUGAAGAGAUAUCGUUAAUAAACAACAAGAACAGAAUCGAGCCAAGAUAUCUACCUUGCGAAACACCUAAAGAGACAUUAAUUGUAUCUGAAAAAGUAUCCCUAAAUAUCACUCGUUGUAUUCUAUUAUAGAGAUAAGUAGGUAUUCAUUGAAGAAAUCUUCUCUUUUGCUUUGUAGGACACAAAACUAAUUUCUUUAUCAAAAGCAAACAUUGGUCCACAUGAGCGAAGUUUUGUUUCCAACAACUCUGGAAGUAUUUCUGCUUUAUUUUUGCGGAGCAUUCCAACAAUUUUCACUUCUCAUGGAUUGGCCAGUUAUUUUGAUGCCAUUAGAAUACUGGUGAACUAAUUAUCCAAUGUAAAGUUCUGAUGGCUUCCAUUUAUAGAUUUUGUUAGAGUUUCAGCAAAAUUGUUUGCUAAUGGAGCACCGUGGGUUUUAGUGCACUUAACUAGAUACGGACUUGAUUUUGAAACAUAUUUGACAGCUACAGAGCAUUACAAUUUUUAUGCCAUAUUUGUUCGGCUUAUUUGGCAUAUACAAUACAUUUGAAAUGGGCAUCUACCGCGAAACCCAACAAGUUGUUCGUCGAUUGUCACAUUCGAGCCAGGCUUGUUACUCCAGAGAACUUAAAACAAAAAUGAAUUAACAUAAAAUAAUUUAAAAAAUAAUAAAUAAUAGUUCAAUAAAAGGGAAUAUAUUUCAAAUGGCAUAUCAAUAUGCCCAGUUUUGCUCACAUAUUAUAUUCUCUUCAAUAUUCGUCGGUUGGUUAUGUUAAUAGAGCGUAUGUGUACAGAUUCACCGCUGUUAUAAAAGCGAAAAAUGUUAUUUGUUUCUCGUGCAUCUGUGGUGAACUCCUUGAUAAAUUCCUACAAAUUGUUCGCUGUCGAACCUGCACCUUCUCAUUGUUUUAAGUUUUCUGGUUACUCUUUGUAUAGUUAUCAAUUAAAAUAUACCAGAUCGUAGAAUUAGGAGCAAAAAUGUUUACCUUACUGGACUCAUCUCUUGUCAUGGAGUCAUCAAAUCUUGAAGCUCUUAAUAAAAAAUGGAACUUUUUCUGGCUCAUCGUUACUUUGUACCUGUGGCCUGAGUAAGUAUUGUCAAACAGAAUAUCAAAUCAGAGACGGACUGCUUAAUUCCGUUUUGAUCUAAAGGUUUAAACUAAUUCUUCUUCAAAUGUUGACUCGCCCAAUUGGUGGGAACAUAGUUAUGAUCACUGAAACUGUCAUCUAUCGAAGUCCUUUUCCUCUACGACGCCGUCAUCAGUAUCAAUGUUGUUUAAUAGUAAUUCUACAUUUCACAAUUUCACUCUAGAAUAAAAAAAAUGGCUUGUGCAAGACUACGUAAAACUUGCGUACAAGUUUUUACACGUUUUUAGUAAAACCAAGUCAAAUUUACGUACACUUUUUUAUACAGGUAUUUUUUUAUAUAGGUUGUGAAAAUCAAUGGAUAUACAAAACUAACACAAAAAAUCACCAAGAAUUAAAAACGGGCGCGAUUUAACACAAACUAAGAGAAAAAAUCAACAUGUAGCACGGGAAUUAAAUCCCCCAAAAGCGCGGGGAGGAGGACAGUAACGCACAGGAAACACGCCGAAGGAAAAAAUUAGAACAAAGGAAAACGAGAAGAAGCAUAACGAAUCACGCUUACACAGUUAUUAACAAAUACGGCAUCGCACCCUCUAUUCCAAUUGGAUCUUCUACAGAGCAAAUAAAAAUAUUCACUAGGUUACGUUUACGACACACAGCAAUCACACAUCAACAUCUCCUAAGUGGCUUUGCUGCUCCAUCUUGCCAAGCAUGCAAUUGUCCUCUGACAAUCAGCCACAUCCUUGAUGCAUGCAGAAAGUACUCAAACGCGAGGAACAGCAUAUUCCAUAACAGAACACCAUCAAAUCUGCUAACAGAAUUUUCUUUAGAUAAUUUAAAAGAUUUGUAUAAGUUUAUAUAUCAAACUGGAUUACUGUACAGACAACUUGUAAUUUAAGGACUUUCCUUUUAGAUCUUUAUCCUUUUUUUACCUAGUUAAUUACCGAAUAUAUAUUAUCGUCAGGCCGAUAGCCUUCGUUGCUAUUACCUUUAAACUUUAAUAUAAUUAUUUAUAAUUAUCUUUAUGUUAAAUAAUAAAUAAAAUAGAAAUUAAUUAGUAUGAGAACAAAUGCAAUGUAAUUUGGAUAAAAGUUGUUGAAUAAAUAUAUGGGUCAGCUUGAGUAUACCGUCCCAGGCUUUAGAGUAUAAAAUGGGUAUGGGCGGAUAGAGGAGAUUCUCCAGACCAAGAAUAUAGGUAUAUAGAUAUAGCCGCGGGAAACUUAUAGUUUUCGAGAUAUUUACGUUUAAAGUUGAAAAUUUCAACUAUUUAAAGUACGUAUUUUUUCGAUUUUAAAUGAAUUAUGCACUUAUAUUUUUCACUUUUAUAUCCACUAACACUUCACUAAUUCGUUAUACACAUUUAUUUUACAUUAUAUAGUGCAAAAGUAGUUUAAUUCAAU